UACGGGGGGGGCAAGCGUUGUUCGGAAUUACUGGGCGUAAAGGGCUCGUAGGCGGCCAACUAAGUCCGACGUGAAAUCCCCAGGCUUAACCUGGGAACUGCGUCGGAUACUGGAUGGCUUGAAUUCGGGAGAGGGAUGCAGAAUUCCAGGUGUAGCGGUGAAAUGCGUAGAUAUCAGGAGGAAUACCGGUGGCGAAGGCGGCCUUCUGGACGGUGACUGACGCUGAGACGCGAAAGCGUGGGGAGCAAACAGG
RNAcentral lists this ribosomal RNA (253 nucleotides) under uncultured bacterium. RNAcentral's name for it is "partial 16S ribosomal RNA". It matches the Rfam family "Bacterial small subunit ribosomal RNA", at positions 524 to 776 of the family's 1533-position model. The record is from RNAcentral.